RNAcentral lists this ribosomal RNA (496 nucleotides) under uncultured bacterium. RNAcentral's name for it is "partial 16S ribosomal RNA". It matches the Rfam family "Bacterial small subunit ribosomal RNA", at positions 29 to 507 of the family's 1533-position model. The record is from RNAcentral.
AUGAACGCUGGCGGCGUGCCUAAUACAUGCAGGUCGAGCGAACAGAUAAGGAGCUUGCUCCUUUGACGUUAGCGGCGGACGGGUGAGUAACACGUGGGUAACCUACCUAUAAGACUGGGAUAACUUCGGGAAACCGGAGCUAAUACCGGAUAAUAUUUCGAACCGCAUGGUUCGAUAGUGAAAGAUGGUUUUGCUAUCACUUAUAGAUGGACCCGCGCCGUAUUAGCUAGUUGGUAAGGUAACGGCUUACCAAGGCGACGAUACGUAGCCGACCUGAGAGGGUGAUCGGCCACACUGGAACUGAGACACGGUCCAGACUCCUACGGGAGGCAGCAGUAGGGAAUCUUCCGCAAUGGGCGAAAGCCUGACGGAGCAACGCCGCGUGAGUGAUGAAGGUCUUCGGAUCGUAAAACUCUGUUAUUAGGGAAGAACAUACGUGUAAGUAACUGUGCACGUCUUGACGGUACCUAAUCAGAAAGCCACGGCUAACUACGUG